GAAAGGCGAGAGGGAAGGUGAAGAUACAGGAGAUGAAGAAAUGGGCAAAUCCCAUUUCUUACAGUCACACACAGAAGGGGAGGCGGACACCUGGGCAGAAUUGAAGAGAUGGGGACGAAGAUAGAAAGGGUUACGUUGGGGGCUCCGAGUGUGUGUCAGGGGCUGGGGCGGAAAGCGGGGCGGCCCUUGGGUUUCCCUAGCGGUCCAGGUUCAUAGUCCAGUGCUUGGCUCCAGUCGCGCAGCUGUCCCUGGCAGCUGAGGAGGAGGAGGGGGCCGCGGGCGCUCCUCCGCUGGGUGGACCCCCGGAGCCGGCGGCGGCCUCGCCCUCGUUCUUGAGGUCUUGGAAGACCUGCGUGAAAAAGUGGGGGUCGGCAUUGAGCCGCAGCAUCUGCGGGCUGAGCCGCUGGAUGAGGCGCAGGCAGCGUUGCCAGAAGCGCUCCUUGUCGGGCUCCACGAGGAAGGGCUUGAGCGGGUAGGAGAUCUCGUUGCCCAUGUAGGAGUAGGCGAGGUAGAGACAGGUGAGGAAGGCGGCCUGCAGCUCGGCGGCCGACGCCAGCUCAUCCCCGCGCAGCGACUCCCGGCACAGCAGGUACACGAACACCAGGUUGGCGGGCGUAAUGAAGGCCUGGUCUUGCCAGCCCUGCAGCAGCAGCGAGCGGUCCACUCCGCGGAACCAGCCCACCAGCUCGCCCGGGCUCAGCUCCUUGAGACGGUAGCAGCGUCGGCACACGAAGUCGCCCAGGCAGCGCAGCAGCUCGCCGGUGGAAGCCUGCACGAUGACCCUCCGCGGCGAGCCGCCAGAUGCGGCUACCAGGCGCUUCCAGGAGUAUCUAGGGAAACAACCUGGUUAAGAGCUGGGCUCCGAAUUGCCAGUCCAAGAUGUACAAGAUGAAUAUGGAUGGAAUUUUAACGGACAAGCAGACAACAUAAUAAAAACAAAUCCACAAAGAAUGACA
Molecule: long non-coding RNA, 956 nt
Filed under: Sus scrofa (pig)
Lineage: Eukaryota; Metazoa; Chordata; Mammalia; Artiodactyla; Suidae
Description: lncRNA (ENSSSCG00070016978.1)
Source: RNAcentral